GAUUGCGGCUGGCUGGCGGCGGGGGGAAGACGGGGGUACCGGGCGUUAGCCGGAUUUAUUGAGUUUAAAGGGUGCGUAGGCGGCGAAUUAAGUCAGCGGUGAAAGACCGGGGCUCAACCAUGGCACUGCGGCGCGAACUGGAGGGCUUGAGUGCGCGGAAGGCAGGCGGAACUCGUGGUGUAGCGGUGAAAUGCUUAGAUAUCACGAAGAACUCCGAUUGCGAAGGCAGCCUGCCGCAGCGCAACUGACGCUGAGGCUCGAAAGCGCGGGUAUCGAACAGGAUUAGAUACCCCGGUAGUC
This 300-nucleotide ribosomal RNA is filed under the name uncultured Paenibacillus sp. RNAcentral's name for it is "bacterial SSU rRNA". It matches the Rfam family "Bacterial small subunit ribosomal RNA", at positions 499 to 795 of the family's 1533-position model. Lineage: Bacteria; Bacillati; Bacillota; Bacilli; Caryophanales; Paenibacillaceae. The record is from RNAcentral.